GAGUUUGAUCCUGGCUCAGGAUGAACGCUGGCGGCGUGCUUAACACAUGCAAGUCGAGCGAAGCAUUUAAGACGAUCUCUUCGGAUUGAGUCUUAUAUGACUGAGCGGCGGACGGGUGAGUAACGCGUGGGUAACCUGCCUCAUACAGGGGGAUAACAGUUAGAAAUGACUGCUAAUACCGCAUAAGCGCACAGGGCUGCAUGGCCUGGUGUGAAAAACUCCGGUGGUAUGAGAUGGACCCGCGUCUGAUUAGCUAGUUGGAGGGGUAACGGCCCACCAAGGCGACGAUCAGUAGCCGGCCUGAGAGGGUGAACGGCCACAUUGGGACUGAGACACGGCCCAGACUCCUACGGGAGGCAGCAGUGGGGAAUAUUGCACAAUGGGGGAAACCCUGAUGCAGCGACGCCGCGUGAAGGAAGAAGUAUCUCGGUAUGUAAACUUCUAUCAGCAGGGAAGAAAAUGACGGUACCUGACUAAGAAGCCCCGGCUA
This 490-nucleotide ribosomal RNA is filed under the name uncultured bacterium. Its description in RNAcentral is "bacterial SSU rRNA". It matches the Rfam family "Bacterial small subunit ribosomal RNA", at positions 9 to 499 of the family's 1533-position model. The record is from RNAcentral.